AGUGAACGCUGGCGGUAGGCCUAACACAUGCAAGUCGAACGGCAGCACAGGAGAGCUUGCUCUCUGGGUGGCGAGUGGCGGACGGGUGAGGAAUACAUCGGAAUCUACUCUGUCGUGGGGGAUAACGUAGGGAAACUUACGCUAAUACCGCAUACGACCUACGGGUGAAAGCAGGGGACCUUCGGGCCUUGCGCGAUUGAAUGAGCCGAUGUCGGAUUAGCUAGUUGGCGGGGUAAAGGCCCACCAAGGCGACGAUCCGUAGCUGGUCUGAGAGGAUGCACAGCCACACUGGAACUGAGACACGGUCCAGGCUCCUACGGGAGGCAGCAGGGGGGAAUAUUGGACAAUGGGCGCAAGCCUGAUCCAGCCAUACCGCGUGGGUGAAGAAGGCCUUCGGGUUGUAAAGCCCUUUUGUUGGGAAAGAAAUCCAGCUGGCUAAUACCCGGUUGGGAUGACGGUACCCAAAGAAUAAGCACCGGCUAACUUCGUGCCAGCAGCCGCCGUAA
This 506-nucleotide ribosomal RNA is filed under the name uncultured bacterium. Its description in RNAcentral is "partial 16S ribosomal RNA". It matches the Rfam family "Bacterial small subunit ribosomal RNA", at positions 29 to 523 of the family's 1533-position model. The record is from RNAcentral.